Molecule: non-coding RNA, 114 nt
Organism: Acanthosepion pharaonis
Lineage: Eukaryota; Metazoa; Mollusca; Cephalopoda; Sepiida; Sepiidae
Source: the annotation of a GenBank genome assembly
AUACGGCCAUAUCACGUUUAAACAGCAGUUCUCGUAGGAUCACCAAUGGUAAGCAGCGUCGAGCCUGAUCAAUACCUAGAUGGGUGACCGCUUGGGAAUACGUGGUGUUGUAGU